RNAcentral lists this long non-coding RNA (467 nucleotides) under Homo sapiens (human). Its description in RNAcentral is "HSALNT0114440". The record is from RNAcentral. Lineage: Eukaryota; Metazoa; Chordata; Mammalia; Primates; Hominidae.
UUGGUUUUGGUAUUAGGGCAAUACUGAACUCAUAGAAUGAAUUGGGAAGUACUUCCCCUGUGUCUAUCUUCUGGAAGAGACUGUAAAAGGGAACAUUUGCAAAUCUGGGCAUGGACUGUGGACCAGGCUUGCCUAAGUAGGAAGAGUCUGCUGGGCUAAAGAUAAACCAGUGGAGCUUUUGAUUGCUGCUUUGGCUAGUGUGACAGUUUGGAACCUGGAAAGGCCUAAAUAUAGGGCUGCCAAUUUUCUCCCACUGGACUUUAGCUGAAUGCUGAGGCAUUUAAGGAUUGGAUAGAAACAUGCAAUGAAGUUCCGUACAGUUGAACAGUGCUUAAAAGUCAUAGUCCUGGCAGAUGGAAAGAUGUUUAAUAACAUCAGACAAGUUGUGCCCUUAAGAUCUUUGAAACCAGAGUGAAAAUGAGGUAAAUGCAAGCUGUAACCCAUCCCUGAGAUGCUUAUUUCUUGAU